Molecule: ribosomal RNA, 471 nt
Filed under: Hepatozoon felis
Lineage: Eukaryota; Apicomplexa; Hepatozoidae
Description: SSU rRNA
Rfam family: Eukaryotic small subunit ribosomal RNA
Source: RNAcentral
CAAGGCAGUUAAAAUGCUUUGUAAUUGGAAUGAUAGAAAUUUAAACACUUUUUAAAGUAUCAAUUGGAGGGCAAGUCUGGUGCCAGCAGCCGCGGUAAUUCCAGCUCCAAUAGCGUAUAUUAAAAUUGUUGCAGUUAAAAAGCUCGUAGUUGAAUUUCUGCUAAAAAUAACCGGUCUGCUUUUAAUAAAGGUGGUAUCUUGGUGUGUUUUUAGCAAUAAUGUCCUUUGAAAUGUUUUUUACUUCAUUGUAAUAAAUUAUAUUUAGGAUUUUUACUUUGAGAAAAUUAGAGUGUUUCUAGCAGGCUAAUGCUUUGAAUACUGCAGCAUGGAAUAAUAAAAUAGGAUUUUGGUUCUACAUUAUUGGUUUUAAGAGCUAAAUUAAUGAUUGAUAGGGACAGUUGGGGGCAUUUGUAUUUAACUGUCAGAGGUGAAAUUCUUAGAUUUGUUAAAGACAAACUACUGCGAAAGCAU